UCCCUCUUAGCUCAGUUGGUAAAGAAUCUGCCUGCAGUGUAGGAGACCUGGGUUCGAUUCCUGGGUAGGGAA
Molecule: transfer RNA, 72 nt
Filed under: Bos taurus (domestic cattle)
Lineage: Eukaryota; Metazoa; Chordata; Mammalia; Artiodactyla; Bovidae
Also listed under: 4 other names
Rfam family: tRNA
About the family: Transfer RNA (tRNA) molecules are approximately 80 nucleotides in length. Their secondary structure includes four short double-helical elements and three loops (D, anti-codon, and T loops).
Source: Rfam by way of RNAcentral